CCCAAGGAUAGAGGCAGAACUUUUC
RNAcentral lists this non-coding RNA (25 nucleotides) under Rattus norvegicus (Norway rat). The record is from RNAcentral. Lineage: Eukaryota; Metazoa; Chordata; Mammalia; Rodentia; Muridae.